RNAcentral lists this ribosomal RNA (422 nucleotides) under uncultured bacterium. RNAcentral describes it as "bacterial SSU rRNA". It matches the Rfam family "Bacterial small subunit ribosomal RNA", at positions 355 to 774 of the family's 1533-position model. The record is from RNAcentral.
UAAGGAAUAUUGGACAAUGGAGGCAACUCUGAUCCAGCCAUGCCGCGUGAAGGAGUAAGGCCCUAUGGGUUGUAAACUUCUUUUAGACGGGACAAAACCCCUUUACGUGUAAAGGGUUGAUGGUACUGUCAGAAUAAGCAUCGGCUAACUUCGUGCCAGCAGCCGCGGUAAGACGAAGGAUGCAAGCGUUAUCCGGAAUUAUUGGGUUUAAAGGGUGCGUAGGCGGACUAAUAAGUCAGUGGUGAAAGCCUGCAGCUUAACUGCAGAAUUGCCAUUGAUACUGUUAGUCUUGAGUACAGUUGAGGUAGGCGGAAUGUGUCAUGUAGCGGUGAAAUGCCUAGAUAUGACACAGAACACCGAUUGCGAAGGCAGCUUGCUAAGCUGUAACUGACGCUGAGGCACGAAAGCGUGGGGAGCAAACA